GCACGGGAGACAGAGCACCGGGUGCUAACGUCCGGACUCAAAAGGGAAACAACCCAGACCGCCGGCUAAGGUCCCAAAUAACAGCUAAGUGGAAAACGAAGUGGAAAGGCCGUGACAACCAGGAAGUUGGCUUAGAAGCAGCCAUCCUUCAAAGAAAGCGUAAUAGCUCACUGGUCGAGUCCUUCUGCGCGGAAGAUGUAACGGGGCUAAGCUGUUAACCGAAGCCGCGGAUGCACUGGUAAUCCAGUGCGUGGUAGGGGAGCGUUCUGUAAGUCUGCGAAGGCGGUUCGAGAGGACUGCUGGAGAUAUCAGAAGUGCGAAUGCUGACAUGAGUAACGUUAAAGCAGGUGAAAAGCCUGCUCGCCGUAAGCCCAAGGAUUCCUGCUCUACGUUCAUCGGAGCAGGGUGAGUCGGCUCCUAAGGUCAGGCCGAAAGGCGUAGCCGAUGGGAAUCAGGUUAAUAUUCCUGAACCUGCGUCAGAUGCGAUGGGGGGACGGAGCAUGGAAGAUCAUCCGGGUGUUGGAAGUCCCGGUUGUUGAGCGUAGGAGGUCUGCAGGCAAAUCCGCAGACGCAUCUCCAAGGCAAAGACACGUGCCGCCACGGCGGCGAAGUGAUCGGAAGUGCUUCCAAGAAAAGCCUCUAAGCUUCAGUCUGACGCGGACCGUACCGCAAACCGACACUGGUGGGCGAGCUGAAUAUGCUCAGGCGCUUGAGAGAACUCGGGAGAAGGAACUCGGCAAAUUGACACCGUAACUUCGGAAGAAGGUGUGCCGUAGUACCGUGAGAGGAGAGACACCUUGAGCGGGAAACGGUCUCAGAGAAUAGGUGGCUGCGACUGUUUAUUAAAAACACAGCACUCUGCAAAGUCGAAAGACGACGUAUAGGGUGUGAUGCCUGCCCGGUGCUGGAAGAUUAAUUGAUGGGGUGAGAGCCCUUGAUCGAAGUCCCAGUAAACGGCGGCCGUAACUAUAACGGUCCUAAGGUAGCGAAAUUCCUUGUCGGGUAAGUUCCGACCUGCACGAAUGGCAUAACGAUGGCCACACUGUCUCCUCCCGAGACUCAGUGAAGUUGAAAUGUUUGUGAUGAUGCAAUCUACCCGCGGCUAGACGGAAAGACCCCAUGAACCUUUACUGCAGCUUUGCAUUGAACUGUGAACCGAUUUGUGUAGGAUAGGUGGGAGGCAGAGAAAGCGCCACGCCAGUGGCCUUGGAGCCGACCUUGAAAUACCACCCUGAUUUGUUUGCGGUUCUAACCACGGACAGUGAUCCUGUCUUGGGACCGUGCAUGGUAGGCAGUUUGACUGGGGCGGUCUCCUCCUAAAGGGUAACGG
Molecule: ribosomal RNA, 1330 nt
Filed under: human gut metagenome
Description: bacterial LSU rRNA
Rfam family: Bacterial large subunit ribosomal RNA
Source: RNAcentral